RNAcentral lists this ribosomal RNA (458 nucleotides) under uncultured bacterium. Its description in RNAcentral is "bacterial SSU rRNA". It matches the Rfam family "Bacterial small subunit ribosomal RNA", at positions 29 to 524 of the family's 1533-position model. The record is from RNAcentral.
AACGAACGCUGGCGGCAUGCCUAACACAUGCAAGUCGAACGGGAUCCUAGCUUGCUAGGUGAGAGUGGCGGACGGGUGAGUAACACGUGGGAAUCUGCCUUUUGGUUCGGGAUAACCGCGGGAAACUGCGGCUAAUACCGAAUGCCCUCGUGAGAGGAAAGAUUUAUCGCCAGAAGAGGAGCCCGCGUCCGAUUAGGUAGUUGGUGGGGUAAAGGCCUACCAAGCCGACGAUCGGUAGCUGGUCUGAGAGGAUGAUCAGCCACACUGGGACUGAGAUACGGCCCAGACUCCUACGGGAGGCAGCAGUGGGGAAUAUUGGACAAUGGGGGCAACCCUGAUCCAGCAAUGCCGCGUGAGUGAUGAAGGCCUUAGGGUUGUAAAGCUCUUUUGCCAGGGAAGAUGAUGACUGUACCUGGAGAAUAAGCCCCGGCUAACUACGUGCCAGCAGCCGCGGUAAU